AUAUGUAUUUGAUAAGAAGAUAGGUUUCCUAGAGAAAACUUUUUUUUGCGAUGUGAAUUUAAAUUAAAGAAAAUUAAUAAUACUAGGAGUCUCCGGUGACUCGAAUUCAAGAUCUUCUGCUCUGAUACCGUAUAAGACUUUUGUUGUAUAUACUUUAAGGUAGCGUUUGGUUCGGAAACAUGGGGGAAUAAGCCCUCCACUACAAUAAAAGUAGUGUAUAGCGACAUUUUUAAAUAUCGGUACAAAUUAAAAAAAAUGCUGCUGGCUAAAUUACCGACACUUUUAAAGAGUUUUGCUAUAUGUGGGGUCGCUAGGUAUAUAGUGGCAGUUUAAGAGUGUCAGUAUAAGUUAAAAAGAAUGCUGAUGCUGCUAAUUUACCAACGCUUAUUUAAGCAUUUAGUAACCACCGGAACCUACCUCAUCGGCUGCAACGGUGGAGGAGGAGGAGAGCAAGUGGUUCUUCGUCUAGGAUUUCAAUGGAUUGAGUGAGGAAAGAAGGGGAGAUGGUGAUGGAUUUUUCUUCUUUUUUUUCCGUUUUUGUUUGUAAUCAUGUGCUGAAUAGGCUGGGUAAGAUAUGUUGAGUAGAGUAACAUUUUUUUUUUGUUGGAUUUGACUUUAUAUUUAGACAUUAAUAGAUUUUUUUAAAAAAAUUUUGGUAUAAAUACGAAGUGUCCUAAAAAUAUGUCCCUAUAACCUAAUUCUGUUGUAAUGUUUUAUUCCCCCCUUUGUUCCCAAAACGUGACGUUUGGUACCUGAGAACAGUAGUUCUCGGGUUUCUUGAAUAAGCCGGUAUUAGGCUGUAACGUAUGUUUCACCUUUUUUUGGAACAAGCUUGCUCCCAAGUGAGAAUUCUAUCGUUAAAUAAUCCGACAUGUUAACCAAUGAUCCAACAUCUAUGAUGUUU
Molecule: long non-coding RNA, 904 nt
Filed under: Ananas comosus (pineapple)
Lineage: Eukaryota; Viridiplantae; Streptophyta; Magnoliopsida; Poales; Bromeliaceae
Description: long non-coding RNA (ACOM_LNC016965)
Source: RNAcentral